AUACGUAGGGGGCAAGCGUUGUCCGGAAUUACUGGGCGUAAAGAGCUCGUAGGCGGCUCAGCAAGUCGGUCGUGAAAGCCCGAGGCUCAACCUCGGAACUGCGGUCGAUACUGCUGUGGCUAGAGUCCGGUAGAGGAGAGUGGAAUUCCCGGUGUAGCGGUGGAAUGCGCAGAUAUCGGGAGGAACACCAGUGGCGAAGGCGGAUCUCUGGGCCGGUACUGACGCUGAGGAGCGAAAGCGUGGGGAGCAAACAGGAUUAGAAACCCCAGUAGUCC
This 275-nucleotide ribosomal RNA is filed under the name uncultured bacterium. Its description in RNAcentral is "partial 16S ribosomal RNA". It matches the Rfam family "Bacterial small subunit ribosomal RNA", at positions 523 to 796 of the family's 1533-position model. The record is from RNAcentral.